CGUAGGGUGCAAGCGUUAUUCGGAGUCACUGGGCGUAAAGAGUUCUGUAGGCGGCUUUGUAAGUCAAAGGUUAAAGACCCCGGCUCAACUGGGGGACGGCUUUUGAUACUGCAUCGCUAGAGAUAGCUAGGGGGCAACGGAACCCAUCGUGUAGCAGUGAAAUGCGUUGAUAUGAUGGGGAACACCAAGGGGGAAGCCAGUUGCCUGGGGCUUAUCUGACGCUGAGAGACGAAAGCGUGGGGAGCGAAACGGAUUAGAUACCCGUGUAGUCCACGCCGUAAACAAUGUCCGCUAGAUGCCUGCGUAAGUGGGUGUCGAAGCUAACGCGUUAAGCGGACCGCCUGGGGAGUACGGCCGCAAGGCUA
This 365-nucleotide ribosomal RNA is filed under the name uncultured organism. RNAcentral describes it as "bacterial SSU rRNA". It matches the Rfam family "Bacterial small subunit ribosomal RNA", at positions 526 to 896 of the family's 1533-position model. The record is from RNAcentral.